Haliotis rubra (blacklip abalone) is the source of this 884-nucleotide long non-coding RNA. RefSeq lists it as uncharacterized. The record is from RefSeq and is a predicted model, not a curated record. Lineage: Eukaryota; Metazoa; Mollusca; Gastropoda; Lepetellida; Haliotidae. The transcript has 4 exons.
CGUUGAUACACUAUAGGCAGGGCAAACGACAUGGGUUCGUUCAUGUUUUACAACUGACCUUGGAAAAAGUUAAUCACAGAAUGAAGACAACACACGACGUAGACCGUGGAUAUGCCUAUGUCAUUCUGCUGGCCUCGUACUGUGUGAUGUUCAUCUGUGGGGUGUUGGUGUACUCCACUGGGGUGAUGAACACCGCAAUCUUGAAAGAAGUUGACAGCGACCUCUCACGGACGUCAUGGGUUGGCUCGACACUACUGGGGACCUUCACCUUCAUUGGGUCCCCUGGCGGGUCUGAUCACAAAGAAACUCGGCUGCAGGCUGUCCUGUUUCGGAGGAGGAAUGCUAAUUUUGCUGGGACUCGCUGCGGCAUCGUUUGUUCAUGACGUUACUGGACUCAUCAUUACAUAUGGAGUCAUUGCAGGGUUUGGCGUUGGUCUGGGGCUGAAUUCCGCUGGCGUAGCUCCUGGCCAUUACUUUAUCAAAAAACGAGGUCUGGCGUUUGGCGUGACUGUAUCAGGUGCUGGUAUGGGCAUGUUUGCAGGAGGUCCUCUAUGUCAGAUACUGGUCGAGGAGUACGGUUUAAGUGGCUGUCUUCUCAUCUUAGGCGCCAUCGCCUCCAAUAUGUGUGUUGCAGCCUGCCUCCUCAGACCCGCACCAAGCACCAAGCAGGAGAUUAUCAUAGAAACCAAACAUGAAGCGGACACUGGCAUAUCAGAAACAUUCUUCAACGAGUCAGCUAUAUCAAAGCAAAAAAAUGCGUGUUGAUAGUGUCGACAGUGUUGAUAGUGUCGCAUCUGUAAUAAAACCAUUGAUGUUGGACAAUUGUAGUAAUAGUGGUGGUGCAGUUCAACAUUCCACGAACUAUCGGGAAAAACAAAUCAGAG